Non-coding RNA from Danionella cerebrum, 72 nucleotides. Lineage: Eukaryota; Metazoa; Chordata; Actinopteri; Cypriniformes; Danionidae. The record is from the annotation of a GenBank genome assembly.
GGCUUGUUGGUCUAGGGGUAUGAUUCUCACAUCAGGUGCGAGAGGUCCCAGCUUCAAAUUCUGGACAAGCCA